UGUGUCCAAAGCUGGAAGCUGCCCCAGCCAAACACUGGAAACACCCAGCUCUCCACCAAGAUAAACCACGCGAGCCACAGCUUGCGGGCAAUAUCCCAUCUCCAUCCUCACCACUGCUCAGCCCAGACCUCCCUCAUCUUCCUGGCCUGCAGACCUUAGCAGUGGCUGUUCCCACCCCUGGAACACCCUUCCCACCUGGUACCUGAUGCCUGCAGGGCCCAUGCACGGCAUAUUCACUGCUGUAUCCCCAGAGCCUCGCACAGUGCCUGGUGCAGAGAUGAUUUUCAGCAAAGAGGCACUGAAGGGAAGAUACCUAUGUGACUGUGAGGAGACACAGGCUGGACGAUGAAUGUGAUGGCUGGAACUCAAGCAGCCACAGUGGAUCAUAAGGGACGGUGUCUUGCUAUGUUGUCCAAGCUGGUCUCAAACUGGCCUGAAUCAAUGCUUCCACCUCAGCUGCCAGAGGAACCGGGAUUACAGGCCUGAGCCACUGCAGCCAGCCAGUUUGUUAUUUUAAUGUAAAUUCUUAGUAAACAACUCAGGAGCUCUCUUGUCCUUUUAAAAUCCAUUUCAACUUCUGCUAAUCGGAGUGUAUAUUCAGGGCAACUUGAAUCUGUGCUCCUGGGAUGCAAUCCUCAAGCUUGGCCCAAAUAAAGUCUCCGCUGAUAUUAA
RNAcentral lists this long non-coding RNA (672 nucleotides) under Homo sapiens (human). RNAcentral's name for it is "novel transcript". Lineage: Eukaryota; Metazoa; Chordata; Mammalia; Primates; Hominidae. The record is from RNAcentral.